RNAcentral lists this ribosomal RNA (2922 nucleotides) under Klebsiella pneumoniae. RNAcentral's name for it is "23S ribosomal RNA". It matches the Rfam family "Bacterial large subunit ribosomal RNA". The record is from RNAcentral. Lineage: Bacteria; Pseudomonadati; Pseudomonadota; Gammaproteobacteria; Enterobacterales; Enterobacteriaceae.
GGGUUGUGAGGUUAAGCGACUAAGCGUACACGGUGGAUGCCCUGGCAGUCAGAGGCGAUGAAGGACGUGCUAAUCUGCGAAAAGCGUCGGUAAGGUGAUAUGAACCGUUAUAACCGGCGAUGUCCGAAUGGGGAAACCCAGUGUGAUUCGUCACACUAUCGUUAACUGAAUACAUAGGUUAACGAGGCGAACCGGGGGAACUGAAACAUCUAAGUACCCCGAGGAAAAGAAAUCAACCGAGAUUCCCCCAGUAGCGGCGAGCGAACGGGGAGCAGCCCAGAGUCUGAAUCAGCUUGUGUGUUAGUGGAACGGUCUGGAAAGUCCGACGGUACAGGGUGAUAGUCCCGUACACCAAAAUGCACAGGUUGUGAACUCGAAGAGUAGGGCGGGACACGUGGUAUCCUGUCUGAAUAUGGGGGGACCAUCCUCCAAGGCUAAAUACUCCUGACUGACCGAUAGUGAACCAGUACCGUGAGGGAAAGGCGAAAAGAACCCCGGCGAGGGGAGUGAAAAAGAACCUGAAACCGUGUACGUACAAGCAGUGGGAGCACCUUCGGGUGUGACUGCGUACCUUUUGUAUAAUGGGUCAGCGACUUAUAUUCUGUAGCAAGGUUAACCGUAUAGGGGAGCCGCAGGGAAACCGAGUCUUAACUGGGCGUUAAGUUGCAGGGUAUAGACCCGAAACCCGGUGAUCUAGCCAUGGGCAGGUUGAAGGUUGGGUAACACUAACUGGAGGACCGAACCGACUAAUGUUGAAAAAUUAGCGGAUGACUUGUGGCUGGGGGUGAAAGGCCAAUCAAACCGGGAGAUAGCUGGUUCUCCCCGAAAGCUAUUUAGGUAGCGCCUCGUGAAUUCAUCUUCGGGGGUAGAGCACUGUUUCGGCUAGGGGGUCAUCCCGACUUACCAACCCGAUGCAAACUACGAAUACCGAAGAAUGUUAUCACGGGAGACACACGGCGGGUGCUAACGUCCGUCGUGAAGAGGGAAACAACCCAGACCGCCAGCUAAGGUCCCAAAGUCAUGGUUAAGUGGGAAACGAUGUGGGAAGGCACAGACAGCCAGGAUGUUGGCUUAGAAGCAGCCAUCAUUUAAAGAAAGCGUAAUAGCUCACUGGUCGAGUCGGCCUGCGCGGAAGAUGUAACGGGGCUAAACCAUGCACCGAAGCUGCGGCAGCGACACUAUGUGUUGUUGGGUAGGGGAGCGUUCUGUAAGCCUGCGAAGGUGUGCUGUGAGGCAUGCUGGAGGUAUCAGAAGUGCGAAUGCUGACAUAAGUAACGAUAAAGCGGGUGAAAAGCCCGCUCGCCGGAAGACCAAGGGUUCCUGUCCAACGUUAAUCGGGGCAGGGUGAGUCGACCCCUAAGGCGAGGCCGAAAGGCGUAGUCGAUGGGAAACAGGUUAAUAUUCCUGUACUUGGUGUUACUGCGAAGGGGGGACGGAGAAGGCUAUGUUAGCCGGGCGACGGUUGUCCCGGUUUAAGCAUGUAGGCUGGUUAUCCAGGCAAAUCCGGAUAAUCAAGGCUGAGGUGUGAUGACGAGGCACUACGGUGCUGAAGUAACAAAUGCCCUGCUUCCAGGAAAAGCCUCUAAGCAUCAGGUAACAUCAAAUCGUACCCCAAACCGACACAGGUGGUCAGGUAGAGAAUACCAAGGCGCUUGAGAGAACUCGGGUGAAGGAACUAGGCAAAAUGGUGCCGUAACUUCGGGAGAAGGCACGCUGGUGUGUAGGUGAAGUCCCUGCGGAUGGAGCUGAGACCAGUCGAAGAUACCAGCUGGCUGCAACUGUUUAUUAAAAACACAGCACUGUGCAAACACGAAAGUGGACGUAUACGGUGUGACGCCUGCCCGGUGCCGGAAGGUUAAUUGAUGGGGUUAUCCGUAAGGAGAAGCUCUUGAUCGAAGCCCCGGUAAACGGCGGCCGUAACUAUAACGGUCCUAAGGUAGCGAAAUUCCUUGUCGGGUAAGUUCCGACCUGCACGAAUGGCGUAAUGAUGGCCAGGCUGUCUCCACCCGAGACUCAGUGAAAUUGAACUCGCUGUGAAGAUGCAGUGUACCCGCGGCAAGACGGAAAGACCCCGUGAACCUUUACUAUAGCUUGACACUGAACAUUGAGCCUUGAUGUGUAGGAUAGGUGGGAGGCUUUGAAGCGUGGACGCCAGUCUGCGUGGAGCCAACCUUGAAAUACCACCCUUUAAUGUUUGAUGUUCUAACGUUGGCCCCUUACCGGGGUUGCGGACAGUGUCUGGUGGGUAGUUUGACUGGGGCGGUCUCCUCCCAAAGCGUAACGGAGGAGCACGAAGGUUAGCUAAUCCUGGUCGGACAUCAGGAGGUUAGUGCAAUGGCAUAAGCUAGCUUGACUGCGAGCGUGACGGCGCGAGCAGGUGCGAAAGCAGGUCAUAGUGAUCCGGUGGUUCUGAAUGGAAGGGCCAUCGCUCAACGGAUAAAAGGUACUCCGGGGAUAACAGGCUGAUACCGCCCAAGAGUUCAUAUCGACGGCGGUGUUUGGCACCUCGAUGUCGGCUCAUCACAUCCUGGGGCUGAAGUAGGUCCAAGGGUAUGGCUGUUCGCCAUUUAAAGUGGUACGCGAGCUGGGUUUAGAACGUCGUGAGACAGUUCGGUCCCUAUCUGCCGUGGGCGCUGGAGAAUUGAGGGGGGCUGCUCCUAGUACGAGAGGACCGGAGUGGACGCAUCACUGGUGUUCGGGUUGUCAUGCCAAUGGCACUGCCCGGUAGCUAAAUGCGGAAGAGAUAAGUGCUGAAAGCAUCUAAGCACGAAACUUGCCCCGAGAUGAGUUCUCCCUGAGACUUUAAGUCUCCUGAAGGAACGUUAAAGACGAUGACGUUGAUAGGCCGGGUGUGUAAGCGCAGCGAUGCGUUGAGCUAACCGGUACUAAUGAACCGUGAGGCUUAACCUUACAACGCCGAAG